CUUGACUAAUUAGUGCAGUGGUAUUUUAGGGCGAUAAAUCAAGUAGAGAUGGGGCCGAGGACGGCGGGGCAGGAGGAGGGCUGCACGGAGCAUCGACAAUGAACCCACACCAGAGGGAGUAAUCCUAAUGUACAAGGCUUGUGCGCGCGUGUGUGCUGUGAAGAGAAUGUGCACAGCAGAGAUCCUGAAGUAAAGCACCGUUUAAAGAUGCUGAAGAGACCAAAGAGGUGACUGAGGGAGGUGAGUACUUUCAGUCUGGAAGAGGAGGUGAGAAAGGUAGCCAGAGAGAGGGGAGGCGGGGGGAGAGAAGAAAUUGAGGUAGGUUGAGAGAUGACCUCUGCUCUGCCAACUGUGCUGUUUCCUGGCACGCGGCCAAGCUCGGAUGCUCGUUGCACCUAUUUUCAUAAAGGAGAAGGGCUCAGCUACAUACUAGGACUGCUACUGAUCCAUAUUUAUGCUCACAUUGUAAACCUUGUACAAUAGUUCAAUGAGCAUAACAGUUGGCAUCAUUUACGCAGCGAUACUGAUGUGAUAAUUGUGGCAUCUGUGAUUGGGAGGUGAAUAAUUCUGGCAGCCAUGAUAAGCUGUGUAUCCGUCUAUGUAUGUGUGUGUGUGUGUGUGUGUGUGCCUGUAGGUGUGCCAGGCCCCCACCAUAGGUACCCAUGGAGAUCUCCGGACUGAAAUAUUCAUUCUUGUUUGCUCGCCCAGACAGUGUGGUCCUAAUUGCAGCAUCAGAAAGCUCCACCUCUUCCUCUCGUCUGGCUUGGCUGCAGCAGAGAUAAACCUCAUCUGGGAGCAGGAUGUCUCUGGCGAAUAUGAGGCUCUGGAGUUUUUCAUCAGUUCCCGUGCCAACCCUACCCAUGCCUGGCCAAGCUGAACCAUCUUGUGGGAUUUUUGGCUUUUAAUUAUACACUCAGUGUACCACUUCAGAUGAUGGCUUCCACAGAUGGCACCCAGUGGUUGAAGGAACCUGAUUCAAUCAGACAACCUGGUUUGGCGUCAAACAUCC
Molecule: non-coding RNA, 1009 nt
Organism: Neolamprologus brichardi
Lineage: Eukaryota; Metazoa; Chordata; Actinopteri; Cichliformes; Cichlidae
Source: RefSeq, a predicted model, not a curated record